RNAcentral lists this ribosomal RNA (538 nucleotides) under Meyerozyma guilliermondii. Its description in RNAcentral is "partial large subunit ribosomal RNA". It matches the Rfam family "Eukaryotic large subunit ribosomal RNA", at positions 87 to 641 of the family's 3401-position model. The record is from RNAcentral. Lineage: Eukaryota; Fungi; Ascomycota; Pichiomycetes; Serinales; Debaryomycetaceae.
CGGCGAGUGAAGCGGCAAAAGCUCAAAUUUGAAAUCUGGCACCUUCGGUGUCCGAGUUGUAAUUUGAAGAUUGUAACCUUGGGGUUGGCUCUUGUCUAUGUUUCUUGGAACAGGACGUCACAGAGGGUGAGAAUCCCGUGCGAUGAGAUGCCCAAUCCUAUGUAAGGUGCUUUCGAAGAGUCGAGUUGUUUGGGAAUGCAGCUCUAAGUGGGUGGUAAAUUCCAUCUAAAGCUAAAUAUUGGCGAGAGACCGAUAGCGAACAAGUACAGUGAUGGAAAGAUGAAAAGAACUUUGAAAAGAGAGUGAAAAAGUACGUGAAAUUGUUGAAAGGGAAGGGUUUGAGAUCAGACUCGAUAUUUUGUGAGCCUUGCCUUCGUGGCGGGGUGACCCGCAGCUUAUCGGGCCAGCAUCGGUUUGGGCGGUAAGAUAAUGGCGUAGGAAUGUGACUUUGCUUCGGUGAAGUGUUAUAGCCGGCGUUGAUGCUGCCUGCCUACACCGAGGACUGCGAUUUUAUCAAGGAUGCUGGCAUAAUGAUCCC